Molecule: ribosomal RNA, 837 nt
Filed under: Flavobacterium sp. B180
Lineage: Bacteria; Pseudomonadati; Bacteroidota; Flavobacteriia; Flavobacteriales; Flavobacteriaceae
Description: bacterial SSU rRNA
Rfam family: Bacterial small subunit ribosomal RNA
Source: RNAcentral
GCGGCAGGCUUAACACAUGCAAGUCGAGGGGUAUGCUUCUUCGGAAGCAGAGACCGGCGCACGGGUGCGUAACGCGUAUGCAAUCUACCUUUUACAGAGGGAUAGCCCAGAGAAAUUUGGAUUAAUACCUCAUAGUAUAGCUGAAUCGCAUGAUUCUACUAUUAAAGUCACAACGGUAAAAGAUGAGCAUGCGUCCCAUUAGCUAGUUGGUAAGGUAACGGCUUACCAAGGCUACGAUGGGUAGGGGUCCUGAGAGGGAGAUCCCCCACACUGGUACUGAGACACGGACCAGACUCCUACGGGAGGCAGCAGUGAGGAAUAUUGGACAAUGGGCGCAAGCCUGAUCCAGCCAUGCCGCGUGCAGGAUGACGGUCCUAUGGAUUGUAAACUGCUUUUAUACGAGAAGAAACACUGCUUCGUGAAGCAGCUUGACGGUAUCGUAAGAAUAAGGAUCGGCUAACUCCGUGCCAGCAGCCGCGGUAAUACGGAGGAUCCAAGCGUUAUCCGGAAUCAUUGGGUUUAAAGGGUCCGUAGGCGGUUUAAUAAGUCAGUGGUGAAAGCCCAUCGCUCAACGGUGGAACGGCCAUUGAUACUGUUAAACUUGAAUUAUUAGGAAGUAACUAGAAUAUGUAGUGUAGCGGUGAAAUGCUUAGAGAUUACAUGGAAUACCAAUUGCGAAGGCAGGUUACUACUAAUGGAUUGACGCUGAUGGACGAAAGCGUGGGUAGCGAACAGGAUUAGAUACCCUGGUAGUCCACGCCGUAAACGAUGGAUACUAGCUGUUGGGAGCAAUCUCAGUGGCUAAGCGAAAGUGAUAAGUAUCCCACCUGGGGAGUA